GGGGGCAUGGCUCAGUGGAAGAGAGCUUACCUAGCAGGCAGGAGGCCCUGGGUUCCAUCCCCAGCAACUGUCCCCC
RNAcentral lists this transfer RNA (76 nucleotides) under Marmota monax (woodchuck). RNAcentral's name for it is "tRNA.Ala". Lineage: Eukaryota; Metazoa; Chordata; Mammalia; Rodentia; Sciuridae. The record is from RNAcentral.